UGAAAGGCAUGUAAAGGAAGGUGAAGUAUGUGAAUCAAAAAUGAAACUUUUCUUUGAUUCAAAGUGAAUCACCAAAUUUGGUUUGGAGGGAAGUUAACAAUUUGCCAACUUCUUUUUGAUCAUAUUUAGAAAGGAUUUGGAUUUCAAAUUAGAAUUUGUUUUGGCUCAGAUAAGUGAUUAUUCUAACAUGCAUUGUAGAGUCAUGAUGUUGAAUACAUUUUCAUUCAGCAUUUUCAUAUCUAUUGAAUGAUUUGAG
RNAcentral lists this long non-coding RNA (256 nucleotides) under Lathyrus oleraceus (garden pea). RNAcentral's name for it is "Pisum sativum (pea) long non-coding RNA (PSAT_LNC021687)". The record is from RNAcentral. Lineage: Eukaryota; Viridiplantae; Streptophyta; Magnoliopsida; Fabales; Fabaceae.